This 251-nucleotide unclassified non-coding RNA is filed under the name Glomus sp. RNAcentral describes it as "partial contains 5.8S ribosomal RNA and internal transcribed spacer 2". The stretch from base 1 to 65 matches the Rfam family "5.8S ribosomal RNA", at positions 84 to 154 of the family's 154-position model. Lineage: Eukaryota; Fungi; Glomeromycota; Glomeromycetes; Glomerales; Glomeraceae. The record is from RNAcentral.
GUGAAUCAUCGAAUUUUUGAACGCAAAUUGCACUCUCGGCGGAGAGUAUGCCUGUUUGAGUUUGAGCCUAUAAAAAAUCGACAUCGUUGCUGUUUCGCAGUGGCGUUCGUCAGAAAGGGGUGCAUCUUAGAUCCUUUUGUUUUAAGCGACUUAAAAUUUUCUUUUGGUUCCAUGAACGUUUCUAAGAUCGAUUUCUUUACACUUUGAAGGUAUCGAUUUUUACUAGACGUCACCAUCAUAACGGAUAUCGC